RNAcentral lists this small RNA (164 nucleotides) under Apteryx rowi (Okarito brown kiwi). Its description in RNAcentral is "TUC338 (ENSARWG00000010511.1)". Lineage: Eukaryota; Metazoa; Chordata; Aves; Apterygiformes; Apterygidae. The record is from RNAcentral.
CUGAAAGUGCUGCAUUCUGAAGGAUUGUGUCCACAGAGUAGCUGCGUCAGGGACAGGAACAGCGCAGAGUUCUGACACGCUCCGGUACGCGGAUCUGUAAGGACCACCUACAGGGAGAGAGGGUGUAAUUCAGUUUCCACACUCAUUCAAUCCUGAUGGCCGUC